RNAcentral lists this ribosomal RNA (490 nucleotides) under uncultured bacterium. RNAcentral's name for it is "partial 16S ribosomal RNA". It matches the Rfam family "Bacterial small subunit ribosomal RNA", at positions 29 to 506 of the family's 1533-position model. The record is from RNAcentral.
AGUGAACGCUGGCGGUAGGCCUAACACAUGCAAGUCGAACGGCAGCACAGUAAGAGCUUGCUCUUACGGGUGGCGAGUGGCGGACGGGUGAGGAAUACAUCGGAAUCUACUUUUUCGUGGGGGAUAACGUAGGGAAACUUACGCUAAUACCGCAUACGACCUACGGGUGAAAGCAGGGGAUCUUCGGACCUUGCGCGAUUGAAUGAGCCGAUGUCGGAUUAGCUAGUUGGCGGGGUAAAGCCCACCAAGGCGACGAUCCGUAGCUGGUCUGAGAGGAUGAUCAGCCACACUGGAACUGAGACACGGUCCAGACUCCUACGGGAGGCAGCAGUGGGGAAUAUUGGACAAUGGGCGCAAGCCUGAUCCAGCCAUACCGCGUGGGUGAAGAAGGCCUUCGGGUUGUAAAGCCCUUUUGUUGGGAAAGAAAAACAGCAGGUUAAUACCCCGCUGUUCUGACGGUACCCAAAGAAUAAGCACCGGCUAACUUCGU